This 81-nucleotide transfer RNA is filed under the name Schizophyllum commune Tattone D. RNAcentral's name for it is "tRNA-Gly". It matches the Rfam family "tRNA". Rfam says of the family: Transfer RNA (tRNA) molecules are approximately 80 nucleotides in length. Their secondary structure includes four short double-helical elements and three loops (D, anti-codon, and T loops). Lineage: Eukaryota; Fungi; Basidiomycota; Agaricomycetes; Agaricales; Schizophyllaceae. The record is from RNAcentral.
GCAUUAAUGGGGUAGUGGUAACCUGGGUCGUUGCCAAUGCAGCCACUCGACCCGCCGGGGGUUCGAUUCCCCCUUAAUGCA